RNAcentral lists this ribosomal RNA (253 nucleotides) under uncultured bacterium. RNAcentral describes it as "partial 16S ribosomal RNA". It matches the Rfam family "Bacterial small subunit ribosomal RNA", at positions 524 to 776 of the family's 1533-position model. The record is from RNAcentral.
UACGGGGGGGGCAAGCGUUGUUCGGAAUUACUGGGCGUAAAGGGCUCGUAGGCGGCCAACUAAGUCAGACGUGAAAUCCCCAGGCUCAACCUGGGAACUGCGUCUGAUACUGGAUGGCUUGAAUCCGGGAGAGGGAUGCAGAAUUCCAGGUGUAGCGGUGAAAUGCGUAGAUAUCUGGAGGAAUACCGGUGGCGAAGGCGGCAUCCUGGACCGGCAUUGACGCUGAGGAGCGAAAGCGAGGGGAGCAAACAGG